This 186-nucleotide non-coding RNA is filed under the name Endomicrobium. RNAcentral's name for it is "Candidatus Endomicrobium FMN sequence". It matches the Rfam family "FMN riboswitch aptamer (RFN element)". Rfam says of the family: The RFN element is a highly conserved domain that is found frequently in the 5'-untranslated regions of prokaryotic mRNAs that encode for flavin mononucleotide (FMN) biosynthesis and transport proteins. The record is from RNAcentral. RNAcentral also lists the same sequence under 1 other name. Lineage: Bacteria; Pseudomonadati; Elusimicrobiota; Endomicrobiia; Endomicrobiales; Endomicrobiaceae.
AAUAGUCUUCGGGGAAGGUGAGAAAGACAGAAGGUCUUUCAACUCCUUACCGGCAGUGAAAAACAUCGUUGUUUGUAAAUGAAACGAAGUUUUAAGUCUGCGACUCCGCCGGAACAAUGUUCCAAAGCGGACUGAAUCAGUGAAACUCUGAUACCGACGGUAAAGUCCGGAUGAGAGAAGAUAAAA